RNAcentral lists this ribosomal RNA (385 nucleotides) under uncultured bacterium. RNAcentral describes it as "bacterial SSU rRNA". It matches the Rfam family "Bacterial small subunit ribosomal RNA", at positions 30 to 416 of the family's 1533-position model. The record is from RNAcentral.
AUUGAACGCUGGCGGCAUGCCUUACACAUGCAAGUCGAACGGCAGCACGGGAGCAAUCCUGGUGGCGAGUGGCGAACGGGUGAGUAAUAUAUCGGAACGUGCCCAGUCGUGGGGAUAACGUAGCGAAAGCUACGCUAAUACCGCAUACGAUCUAUGGAUGAAAGCGGGGGAUCGCAAGACCUCGCGCGAUUGGAGCGGCCGAUAUCAGAUUAGGUAGUUGGUGAGGUAAAGGCUCACCAAGCCGACGAUCUGUAGCUGGUCUGAGAGGACGACCAGCCACACUGGGACUGAGACACGGCCCAGACUCCUACGGGAGGCAGCAGUGGGGAAUUUUGGACAAUGGGCGCAAGCCUGAUCCAGCAAUGCCGCGUGCAGGAUGAAGGCC